Molecule: long non-coding RNA, 766 nt
Filed under: Homo sapiens (human)
Lineage: Eukaryota; Metazoa; Chordata; Mammalia; Primates; Hominidae
Description: HSALNT0347641
Source: RNAcentral
AUUCCUGCUUUCCCGCUCAAAUGUUGCAUUUUCUAAGACCUCCCUGGCCCGCCAUACGCCGAUCCUGAACCUACGAAAACCCAAGACUGCGGGCACGGUGGCUCAUGCCUGUAAUCCCAGCACUUUGGGAGGCCGAGGCGGGCAGAUCACGAGGUCAAGAAGUCGAGACCAGCCUUGCUAACAUGGCGAAACCCUGACUCUACUGAAAAUACAAAAAUUAGCUGGGCGUGAUGGCGUGCGCGCCUGUAGUCCCAGCUGCUCGGGAGGCUGAGGUAGGAGAAUCGCUUCAAUCCGGGAGGUGGAGGUUGCGGUAAGCAGAGAUUGCGCCACUGCACUCUAGCCUGGCGACAGAGACUCCUUCAAAAACAACAACAACAACAACAACAACAACAAAACAAAACCUCCCAAGACCCUAGUGGGCAGACACACAGCCAGCCAGACAUGGAGAGGAGCACAUUAGCAGAAGAAGACGCAAGUGGCUGGUCCUCGAGAGGACGUUGAGAGGAGCAUGCCAGCAGAAGAGCACACAACGACAGGCACCGACACACCACCGGCAGGCCAUGCACCAGCAGAAUGAUGCGGAGUUUGACGGGGCAGUCAGAGAAGAGCCUGGGCCGCCAAGGGGCCCGACUCCAGGGGAAAACCAUCUCCCUUCUGGCUCCCCCAUCUGCUGAGAGCUACUUCUACUCAAUAAAACCUUGCACUCAUUCUCCAAGCCCACGUGUAAUCCGAUUCUUCAGUGGAACCAAGGAGGCAAGAUGGUCAG